CCGGGUGUGGCGAAGUUUGGUAUCGCGCUUGGUUCGGGACCAAGAGGCCGUGGGUUCAAGUCCCGCCACUCGGACCA
Molecule: transfer RNA, 77 nt
Filed under: Bacillota bacterium
Lineage: Bacteria; Bacillati; Bacillota
Also listed under: 1 other name
Description: Firmicutes bacterium (gut metagenome) tRNA-Pro
Rfam family: tRNA
About the family: Transfer RNA (tRNA) molecules are approximately 80 nucleotides in length. Their secondary structure includes four short double-helical elements and three loops (D, anti-codon, and T loops). Further hydrogen bonds mediate the characteristic L-shaped molecular structure. tRNAs have two regions of fundamental functional importance: the anti-codon, which is responsible for specific mRNA codon recognition, and the 3' end, to which the tRNAs corresponding amino acid is attached (by aminoacyl-tRNA synthetases). tRNAs cope with the degeneracy of the genetic code in two manners: having more than one tRNA (with a specific anti-codon) for a particular amino acid; and 'wobble' base-pairing, i.e. permitting non-standard base-pairing at the 3rd anti-codon position.
Source: RNAcentral